GAUACAGUUUGGAAAUCAACUUUGGAGGUUUGUCAGACUGGCUUAAAAUAGCAUCUGGCUUGUCCAGUGUUUGCUGCGCAGAGAGAAUACGGUGUUGUAUCUGCAAAAAUUCACCUCAGCUCCAUCACAGACUGGUCUUCUCUGGCUGCCUGACCCUGUUGAGACCCUUGUCACCAUCUGAUCCUUCUAAGGCAGAGAAAAGAGGAGAAGAACGAAGGAGGAAAGGAGUGGAGAGGGAAGGACAGGAAAGUAACAGAAAG
This is a long non-coding RNA of Oncorhynchus tshawytscha (Chinook salmon), 260 nucleotides long. The record is from Ensembl. NCBI's taxonomy places the organism in Eukaryota, Metazoa, Chordata, Actinopteri, Salmoniformes, Salmonidae.